Molecule: ribosomal RNA, 1464 nt
Filed under: Acinetobacter calcoaceticus
Lineage: Bacteria; Pseudomonadati; Pseudomonadota; Gammaproteobacteria; Moraxellales; Moraxellaceae
Description: bacterial SSU rRNA
Rfam family: Bacterial small subunit ribosomal RNA
Source: RNAcentral
UUGGCCAACGCUGGCGGCAGGCUUAACACAUGCAAGUCGAGCGGGGUGAUGGUGCUUGCACUAUCACUUAGCGGCGGACGGGUGAGUAAUGCUUAGGAAUCUGCCUAUUAGUGGGGGACAACAUUUCGAAAGGAAUGCUAAUACCGCAUACGGUCCUACGGGAGAAAGCAGGGGAUCUUCGGACCUUGCGCUAAUAGAUGAGCCUAAGUCGGAUUAGCUAGUUGGUGGGGUAAAGGCCUACCAAGGCCGACGAUCUGUAGCGGGUCUGAGAGGAUGAUCCGCCACACUGGGACUGAGACACGGCCCAGACUCCUACGGGAGGCAGCAGUGGGGAAUAUUGGACAAUGGGCGCAAGCCUGAUCCAGCCAUGCCGCGUGUGUGAAGAAGGCCUUAUGGUUGUAAAGCACUUUAAGCGAGGAGGAGGCUACUCUAGUUUACCUAGAGAUAGUGGACGUUACUCGCAGAAUAAGCACCGGCUAACUCUGUGCCAGCAGCCGCGGUAAUACAGGGGUGCAAGCGUUAAUCGGAUUUACUGGGCGUAAAGCGCGCGUAGGCGGCUAAUUAAGUCAAAUGUGAAAUCCCCGAGCUUAACUUGGGAAUUGCAUUCGAUACUGGUUAGCUAGAGUGUGGGAGAGGAUGGUAGAAUUCCAGGUGUAGCGGUGAAAUGCGUAGAGAUCUGGAGGAAUACCGAUGGCGAAGGCAGCCAUCUGGCCUAACACUGACGCUGAGGUGCGAAAGCAUGGGGAGCAAACAGGAUUAGAUACCCUGGUAGUCCAUGCCGUAAACGAUGUCUACUAGCCGUUGGGGCCUUUGAGGCUUUAGUGGCGCAGCUAACGCGAUAAGUAGACCGCCUGGGGAGUACGGUCGCAAGACUAAAACUCAAAUGAAUUGACGGGGGCCCGCACAAGCGGUGGAGCAUGUGGUUUAAUUCGAUGCAACGCGAAGAACCUUACCUGGCCUUGACAUAGUAAGAACUUUCCAGAGAUGGAUUGGUGCCUUCGGGAACUUACAUACAGGUGCUGCAUGGCUGUCGUCAGCUCGUGUCGUGAGAUGUUUGGGUUAAGUCCCGCAACGAGCGCAACCCUUUUCCUUAUUUGCCAGCGAGUAAUGUCGGGAACUUUAAGGAUACUGCCAGUGACAAACUGGAGGAAGGCGGGGACGACGUCAAGUCAUCAUGGCCCUUACGGCCAGGGCUACACACGUGCUACAAUGGUCGGUACAAAGGGUUGCUACCUAGCGAUAGGAUGCUAAUCUCAAAAAGCCCGAUCGUAGUCCGGAUUGGAGUCUGCAACUCGACUCCAUGAAGUCGGAAUCGCUAGUAAUCGCGGAUCAGAAUGCCGCGGUGAAUACGUUCCCGGGCCUUGUACACACCGCCCGUCACACCAUGGGAGUUUGUUGCACCAGAAGUAGCUAGCCUAACUGCAAAGAGGGCGGUUACCACGGUGUGGCCGAUGACUGGGGCCC